Molecule: non-coding RNA, 4014 nt
Organism: Rattus norvegicus (Norway rat)
Lineage: Eukaryota; Metazoa; Chordata; Mammalia; Rodentia; Muridae
Source: RefSeq, a predicted model, not a curated record
AUAGGCCCCAAAGGAGAGCACAAUAUGGUUAUUCUACCACAUGGACAUAUUUAAGUGGUUUUGUUUAAAUAUUUAAAUUGUAAUAAAUUGUACCCUGUGCUCUUAUCUUUACGCCCAUAGAUCAGUGCAUCUUUCAACCUUCAACAAAAAGAUGUUUUUCACAGUAGAUGAUAACUUACAGAGACCCACCACUGCUCAAUGUGCAGACCAAUGGACGGAUAGAUGGAAUGGCGUCAGUGAGGAUAACGGCGCACAAGACCAAGUGCCAAGACCAGUGUGACAGGUAGAAGUACCCACAUGGAGACUUCUAGUGAGUUCUGGAAACAAAACUUAUUCUUAAGUGCUGCAGAGAUAAUUUUCUGAAGAUAAAUACACAUUCUGAAGGUACAUAAAACCAUAAAUGAAGACGGGGAGACAGAGAGAGAGACAGAGACAGAGACAGAGACAGAGAGACAGAGACAGAGACAGAGGGACAAAGGGAGAUAGGGACAGAGGGAGAGAGCGGGGGAGGGAGAAGGAGAGGGAGAGAGGAAAGAGAGGGACAGAGGGACAGAGGGAGAGAGGGACAGAGAGAGAGAGAGGGAGGGAGGGAGAGGGAGAGAGAGAGAGAGAGAGAGAGAGAGAGAGAGAGAGAGAGAGAGAGAGAGUCAGAGAGAGUCCAGUAUUUUACUAUUCAGAGCCAGGGCGAUAUUUUUCAAGUUAGAUAUUUUCUAUUUUUCCUUCCUUUUAAGAACUCAAAACUAAUCAUAUGAGACAUAUUUUAGCAUAAAGUGGUUCUUAAAGGUUUCUUUUUAAUUUGAGGAGCAAGGACUGAGUUGCUAACAGGAGGGAUAAAAGAAUUGCAAUGUGUUUGGGUGGUUUGAUAAUGUUUUGAGUCAAAAGAACUAUUUGUUCAGUAGUCAAAACUACAAGAAUUUACUUAUUAAAAUGUGUAAAAUUUUAUUUUCGGUGGCAUAGGGAGGAAGUGUGUACUUAGAACACUUAGAUUUUUUUUAAUGAUUUAUUUAUUCUCGUUUUUAUGUUCAUUGGUAUUUUGCCUGCACAUAUGUCUGUAUGAGGGUGUCAGAUCUGCUGGAACUGGAGUUACAGACUGUUGUAAGCUUCCACGUGGCUGCCGGGAAUUGAACUCAGGUCCUCUGGAAGAGCAGCCAGUGCUCUUAAACACCGAGCCAUCUCCCCAGCCCUAGAACACUUAUAAUGCGGAAUUUGGCUGUUUGCAAAGGACCAAGGAAAUGCUCGGUACGGAUGUUUCCGGGAUCGAUCACAAUUGCCAGACUGAAAAUGUGUCUGUUAAUACAGCGCCUGACACCAUUCGACUCGGCAUUGAUUCUGACUGACCACUGAUUGCUCGUGUCGUGUCUUACAGAGCCUAAGUCAACACUAGAAGAUGACAUUACCUUGAGUGCCACCAAACAGACACCGAAUUCUAAGGCGUUCCUUCGCAUGGCCACUUUUGAAGGGAUCAGGAGCAUCCUAAACACAGUCUGAGCUUUAAGGCCAUGUUGAAUCUGAGACUCUCAAUUCCGUAGACUCCAGGGACUUCCCUAAAGUCUUCAGACUCGGCUGCCUCAUCAUCUUGAAAGGGGGGUGAAGUGUGAACUCCAGGGAUGCCUCAAGGACUGAAGACAAAGCAUGGACGAGACUCCUGAGCUUUCCAGAUCCACUCACGGUUAGCCACUCCAUGGGACGUUAGUCGUGAACACAUUCAGUUAAGAGUUGCCAUGAGGACAAGAAAUACAAGUCCUAGAAACUAUGUCGAAGCCUUCAUAGCUCACGAGAAAGGAAACGAGUUGAACUGUGGCAGGCGAUGUUACCGCUAUCUCUGGUUCCCUCCAGUCCAACAUCUACAGUUGUCAUUCAUACUGGAUGAGUGUGUGGAUCUUGGCGUCACCUCUCAGGGGUGCUAUAGGAUGCUCCAUGGGUCUGUUUUAAGAUUAACUAGAGAGAGUCAUCACCACCAGCAGGCUCACUGCUUUCUCCUAAACAACUUCCACGUUUUUGAACCUAAUGGGCCAACCUGGUUUGCUGACCUGGAAAGAGAGAAAGGAAGAAGCAUUCAAGCUACUAAUGAGCAGCGAAAGGCCAACACCGUGGGAACAGAAGGAGGAAGAGAGAGUUGGAAAGACAAUGAUCAUUCAAAACUAAAAGAAGAGACUCAUGGGUCAUGGAGAGCUGUGCGCAUGCGCACGCAUACGCUCACGCUCUGCUUCCUAUAUUACUACGCUACCCUCUUUGGACCUCUCCAUUCUGUUCAGGAGGAUUUUUUUCUUCUCAGGGAGAGCAGACAAAACACGAACAUGAGCAGGGUUAAAUUCUCUUUACAGUGUGGGAUAAUCAACCUAGCGGGAUAUUUUCCCUAAACUGAAGUUCCAUUACCAACAGGAGACAUAGACUUUCCACCCACAGCCUUAAUUCUUGGGCAUCUGCCUUGUUCCUCCCUGCAGAAACCAGAAAGACCAUUGUUCUGUGAGUUAUCACAGAGAGAGCCCAUAUCACAGAGUAAGGCGGAUCACGGGAGAAGCUGAGCUCAGACGGUCGGUUCGUUUCCCUUCUUCAGUUGAGAUAUAUGUGGUUCUCCUCGAUCUUUCACUCAAUUUUACAUAUACAUGCACACAUCAUACCACGUACACAUACACACACAAACACACGCACAUACACAUACACACACACAUACAGACAUAUACAUAUAUGUGUAUAUAAACUCACUGUAAAAAGAUAUUAUUGAGUCUGUGACAGACAAGUCUACUUUCACUGUUUGCUGGUCUCUUAGCAUAUGACUUACAGAUAGAAUAAAAAUCCAGGCAGGAUUUGCUCACGUUGGCCUUGGUAAGCCGGGGUAACAAGGUAACCUUAUAUACUCAGGAGUGCAGUGUGUUCUGUGCGUAGACACAGAUCCAGACAGAGGGGCUGUUUUUGGAAUUCACAUCCCUUCUAAUUUUAAAAACAAGUAUUUCCUGGCUUGCAUCAACAGAGUCUCUGACCACUGAUUCAGCUACUCUCCAGCUUCCGGGGUUUUAUUUCUCACUUUACAGGAAUUGUAAGAAAACUGAGUUAUAAAAAGCUCUCGGGAAAAUAAGAGUUUCUUCAAGGGACAAAUGCAGGGUCAGGGAGAAGACCGCACACACUUAUUUGACUCACACUGUGGAGGUGGGACUAGUCAGUAUGUGAAACAAAGUUGGCUUUGUAUACAUUCUAGAAGGUUCCUAAAAGUAGUUUUAUAUCGGUCCAUGCUUUCUCGUGCUGUUGUUGAUAGUGUGUAUUAUCUUGAAAGCCUGAAGGGAAACAAAAUGGUGUUAGGAAUUACAACAGCAAUGUCUGACCAAAUCCCAGCCCCCUUCUAUCUUUUUAUCACAGAGAAAAGGAUUCCUUCCUCUUCCCCGGAAGCUUCCAUCAUUCCUGAAGUACAAAAUGUCACCCUUUCUCAUGACUGUCACAGCAAGCCUGGGGCCCCAUCUUAGCUCCCACUCUUAUUUCUGUGCAUUCUUCUCCAUGUACCCCAGCUUUUCCUGUUCUUUCUUUGAGUCACGCACUUUUAAAUUCUUGUAUCCAGAAAUCAUACUUACCAGGUCUCAAGUGCCCUGAGCACUUGCCCUCCUAACAUGACACAAAACAAAAAAGGAAAAAGGUUUGUGCCAGGAAUGACCGAAAAGUCAGAUUACAUUAGCUGCAGUAAUUCAUAAAGCAACAUGCCUGCUAAUAUUUUGAUUCUCUUUCACACAUCUUUUUCCUUUAACUCAAUCUGAUCUAACCUCGAGUGUGGUAGUACAAUGUAUAGAAAAUAACUCCAUAAUGAAAAAGAAUAUACAAGGAAGAAAAUAAGACAGAUGACAAGGCCCUAUGUUCAGCUUACCUCGUUACUACACAGUGAUUUUUAUCUCUGGGUUCUUAAAUCCAACCUUUUUUCAAAACACGUCUCUUGGUUUUAUGGUAUGUACAUAAAGCAAGAAAGGCUUGUUUUGACAAUCAAAAAAUCUGUAGAUCAUUGUAUUUACAAAAAUUAAACCACUGAAAUUU